This is a non-coding RNA of Lolium perenne, 1337 nucleotides long. Lineage: Eukaryota; Viridiplantae; Streptophyta; Magnoliopsida; Poales; Poaceae. The record is from RefSeq and is a predicted model, not a curated record.
UACUUAUCCUCUUUUACAUCUUACUUUGAUAGAAUAUGCAAAGUAUAUAAGGAGAGCAAAUUUGAAUGCAGUAUUUUCAUUCCUGGGGUACUAGGCUGUGAGAAGGCAAGCAGGGAUUGAUGUCAAGGAAUGCUAUCAGUCUGGUAUGUUUCUGCCAAUUUCUGUUAGUAUCUGACGGUUUCUCAAUUACUGGCACUAUUCACUUGAUGAAUUCAUUUCCAUCAUUUUCUUAGUCUCUUGUUAUUUCAAUUUCCUGAUUUUCAUUUACCUACUAGAUACUAGAAGUCCAUGGCUUACUCAUUUUCUUGGCUUUUAGUUUCUUAGUGUCUUAGUUAUUCAAUUUCUCAUUUUGCCUACCAGAUCUUUAUUAGCUUCAUGUGCUUGAUUCCUCGUUACUUUGUUUCUUAUUUCCUCAGCUAUUCAUUAUAAAAAUUUCAUUAGUUUCACUGUCGCAAUAUCUUGUUCAGAUUCAUGUGUUAGAGUCCUUGUUGCUAUGUUUUUAGCUUCAUGUGUCUCAAUAUCUCUGUUUUGCAUUUCCUACAAGAUCCACUCCGACAAAAACGAUCGCUGCCUUAUCUUAAUGCUAAUUAUUACUCAUUUGUCAGUCCUUCCUCUCACUGCUAACAUUUUGUAUAGUGUCAAUUACACAUGGAACAACCUCAGUUGUUGAUUGGUUUUCAGUUUACAUUCUUUUUUUCUUCAGAUUCCUUAGUUUCAUUCUUUCUUUUGUGAAGUGGUUUACAAAUCAGGCGCAAGUAGCACCGCUGCACUUUCUCAAAGCUAUUGAGUUUGCAUCCUCGACCGCACACACUCUGACCUACGGUCGUAGUUACUCUUUUCUCCGUCCAUGCGCUACUCUAGGUGCUGCACCAAUAAGGCACCAAGAACAUAAGAUACUCCUCCUCAAGGUAUCUCUAUCUCGGGUGCUCUAUUGUCCUGCUUCUUAUUAGCUCUUAUUUAAUUAGAUUCUUAGUAUAGCUCUAUAUGUCUUGAUUUGCAGAUAAUGCCCUAAGAAUCUCAUUGUUCUUAAUUCCCAGUAACUUAGUUUCUUAGUUUUACAAUUUUUGAGUUUGCAUUACACUCUGGCCUAAGGUCGCAGUCAUUCGUAUCCGUUUGUGCGCUCCUAACGGUGGACAUCAUCCCAUGAUUUUUAGCCACAUUUAGAAGUAACUAAUCAUGUUCUCUGAAUAAUUUGCUUUUCUUCAAACUUUAAUUUUGGUAAUCUAGGGAGACCUAUAUGCUUCUAAAGAUUUUGAACUAUGAGUAUGUCAGUAUUGUUGUUAAAAAUAUGCUUAGUAUCUUAUGCUUUGGUGCCUGAACUUGCAUGGACUGUAAGG